Molecule: small nuclear RNA, 103 nt
Filed under: Catagonus wagneri (Chacoan peccary)
Lineage: Eukaryota; Metazoa; Chordata; Mammalia; Artiodactyla; Tayassuidae
Source: RNAcentral
GCUUGCCUCAGCAGGACAGACACUAAAAUUAAAAUGAUACAGAGAGGAUUAGCAUGGCCCCCAUGCAAGAAUGACAUACAUCCGUAAAGUGUUCCAUAUUUUA